GACGAACGCUGGCGGCGUGCCUAAUACAUGCAAGUAGAACGCACAGUUUAUACCGUAGCUUGCUACGCCAUAGACUGUGAGUUGCGAACGGGUGAGUAACGCGUAGGUAACCUGCCUGGUAGCGGGGGAUAACUAUUGGAAACGAUAGCUAAUACCGCAUAAUAUUAAUUAUUGCAUGAUAAUUAAUUGAAAGGUGCAAUUGCACCACUACCAGAUGGACCUGCGUUGUAUUAGCUAGUAGGUGAGGUAACGGCUCACCUAGGCGACGAUACAUAGCCGACCUGAGAGGGUGAUCGGCCACACUGGGACUGAGACACGGCCCAGACUCCUACGGGAGGCAGCAGUAGGGAAUCUUCGGCAAUGGACGAAAGUCUGACCGAGCAACGCCGCGUGAGUGAAGAAGGUUUUCGGAUCGUAAAGCUCUGUUGUAAGAGAAGAACGGGUGUGAGAGUGGAAAGUUCACACUGGGACGGUAUCUUACCAGAAAGGGACGGCUAACUACGU
RNAcentral lists this ribosomal RNA (504 nucleotides) under uncultured bacterium. Its description in RNAcentral is "partial 16S ribosomal RNA". It matches the Rfam family "Bacterial small subunit ribosomal RNA", at positions 28 to 506 of the family's 1533-position model. The record is from RNAcentral.